UUGACUGGGCAAUAAUAACUCACUGCUGGUUAAUAUUCGCAAUACAGCAAUGCGUAAGUACUUCAAGGGAAAAGGGGCUGCUCUUUUGGGCUGUAUGUACACAGCUAAUAGAAAAAUCUGUCCCCAUUUCUGGUGUGACAUAGUUUAACAUUCACAGUGCGUAUGUAUCAACAACUGAUCGGUUUUCAGUCAAUCGCAACAGAAGAUGCAGAAAAUCAGAGGAUGAUCAUUCAAGAUUUUUCUUCACUGGAGUCUGAUAAUUAUGCUGACUGGUUUGGUGACUAUUUCCAUGGGGAACUAAUCUAAGAGCACUGUUAUUCUUCUCACUUGCAACUGCAUAUUUUUCAGAUGGACAGAUAAAUCCAGUUCACAAUGAUUAGUUUCCUAAUGUUUUGCAAAGACUCUCUGUAUUGUCUACCACUGAAGGUGCAGCAGGAAGGACAGAAGGGUGGUAUGACUGGGAAUAACAUCAGAGCUUGGAACAGAACUGCUCUUCACGAAGCGCUUUGCACCUUGAAGCAUUAUUUUCUGAGGAAGUGUGGGUCUUAAAGUGUCACAACUUAAAGCCGUGGAAGUGACAGAAGCAAAACUUAAAAGAGAAGAAAUAGGUAUGAUGACUAGACUGAAGGCUUUUGUAAGCUGCUAUAGAAAAAAUGCCAAGAUCUUCUUACCUGGUAAGUGGAUGUGAUAGACAAAUAAUGCCAGUUUGAUAUGCUUUUUAGAAGAUCUAGAGUUGGGAAAUCUUAACUCGCUAAAUCUGUUCUGAUGAAAAAACUCUUAGCUGGUGGUUCUCAGUUGCUAUGAAAAGGUUAAGAAAACCAGGUACUGUAUUUUCUAGUGAAUUGACAAUUUGCCUUAGAAUAGGUUUUCACGUUCACAUUUGUAUUUAAACAUACCGAAGCGGCAUUUUCCUACUUCCUACAGUCUAUUCCAUAUUGCAGUUUUUGUUGUCAAUUAUCUAAUUACUACCAGUGCUGGAGUCUUUGAUCAAACAAACAGUUGUUACAGGUCUUGUACCCACAGCUUGGCUCCUUCUGGGCACAGGUACCCAGUAUUGGAGUUGAAGGACUCAACUUUCACUAGAAGCUGCUUGCACGGAAGUCAACGGCAGAAUUCCCAGGAAAAGUCGGUGUCUGUGAGACCAACCCAAAUUAAGUGCUCUUUAAAAAUCUGCCUUCCUGAAGUCCAAUCCCAUAAUAAUAAACCUUGAAAACAAGAGCACAGGGGAGAUCCGAGGAAUGUGUAGCUAGAAGCAGUGCACAACACUCCCUUCCUUAGCAAACUCUUUCCAGAAACACACGCAGCUGAAAGGUCAAGUGGUUUAGAGGUUCACCGGUUAUACACCUUUGAGAAAGAAAAUGAAUUAAACUUAGCAGAAACAUAUUCAUGGAGUGAGCAAAAGAAAAAGGGAAGAAAUGCCAACCUAUCACACUUCUGUUGCGGAAAGGCGAUCACAACGACGUUGUCUCAGCAUGGCACAACCGCACAAUGAGACUGACCAGUCUGCAAGCAGGUGAUAGUCCAAAACCCCUAAAUAUAUAAGACAGUUGCAAAAUACUUUUUUUAAAUAAAAAUAUUUCAAAAGUAAUGCUUCAAUAAAGUAAACAAGUAAUGUUUAAAAAGAGAUUACUUUUUGCAUCAUAUACUGCAAAGUAUUGUGGUCUUUGAAAGUAACUUCUCACUCAGACAAAUUUAUUAGGGAUAGAGCUUUUCCUCAGUAUUACAUAAAUAAAAAUAAAUGUCUCAAAUGUUGGCUAAGGGACUGAGAGUAAUAUACUUGUAUUUUCAUUAGUGUAGCUAGCUCUGUGCUGGUCACUGUGGAAUAUUAAAUAUUGGAAAUCAAUAGAGUAGCUGUAUAUGUAUAGUACGUUUUAAGAGUAAUUACUAAUACCUAACUCCUCUGCAUGUCUACAUUCACUUCAGCAAAUAAUGCUGGUUUUAGUGUUGAUAAAUGUAUAGCAUGAACUGGCUGGAUUAAUUAAAACUGUUUGGAUGGAAAAGCUUAAUGCUGUAUGAUGUUUUAUUCAGGCUUACAGCAGGUUCCAUGAAAGUUUGUGCCCGGUCAUUGUAAAGAACUAAAACAUACGCCAUCACUCAAGGCAAGGAGUACGUCAAUGUUUCAAGGACCCACACAACCCACCGUGAGGCCAAACCCUCCCACAGCCAUAGAGGAAAGCAAGGACUGCAGGGGACUGUGGGGAUCAGGCCAGGGUGGGGCCUCCUGUCCCCCAAAUAUCUGGGGAGGUGGCAGGUCACCCCUCCACUUGCCACUGUCCCCCAGGAAGGCUGCCCGGUCUUUCCCUGGGCCAACAUCCACCCUAGGUCAUUUAGGAAGGAUGCUACAUGGAGAAGUUGCGUCAGUCCUACCUAUGAGGAUGAUGUAAGUUGAAGAAUGAAAAAUUCAAUUCGGCCUGCCCUGCUGAGGAGCCUUGGGCCACUCCUGAUUUGCCCUUGUUGUCCUCGUGUCUGUUCCCUGUUGUCACAGCAUGAGGAUUCUUCACAAGAACUAAUAAAUUUUCCCUUCCAGGAAGAUAUUUUUAGGGAGCUGAGGCACAUCAGGAUGUAGUGAAAUGGAGCACAGUGGAAUUUCACUGGUUUCAAACUUAGACACACUCAAGCAGAUUCAGAGUCACUGUUGCAAGUCCUCGCCUUCAGCUAAAGCACUCACAAAAGCUAUGACAGAGCCAGGAACCAAACCUUGAGCUCCCUAAAUAUAUAGAGAUAUGGGAAGAACCACACUGCUGAAGUUUCUAUUGUCAAAAAAUGUAUGGCCAAUAUUCAUGCUGUGAUUUUUGUUGGGCAUGACAGUUUUGGUUGGGGAAGAAUAAUGUUAUCUAGCUGAUUUUACUGUUGCAUUUCCAAAAUAAAAUAUUUCAAUGUUUCCCUGAAAAGUGUCUCUGAUUUUUCACCUGAAAAUGUAUCUUAGUUUCUACAGAGCUAUGUAGCACAAACUUAGUGAGCUAUUUCCCUUAUGCAUUAAAUGAAAUACAUUGAAAAUAAUAAUGGUCAGCAUUUUGGGCAACUUUUACAGGUGAAAAAAAAUCAAGGAAAGCACAACCAAUUUUCUUUCUGUUUAUAAACUAAUGUUUUUCCAGAUUAUAUUUUUAAAUUAUUCCCUGCUUAGGGUGUUUUAGACUAAUGUAAGCCUUUAUUAAAUUAUGCAGUUCAAUCAUUUUCUUUGGCAUUAGAACAGACACAGUUCCUGUAAGUUUUGGUAUGAAGUACUUUUGUAGCUGAUCUGUGUAGUCUUUCAGUGUGCCAGAAUACAAUGUACAAUAAAAUGGACUUCUACCAGGUUCCCUCAGGCUACUGUUUUAGGUGCUAUAUGCCCACUGACUCUCAAUAUAACUGUAAAUAAAAAAAUUAAGUAUAUUAAAAAAAAAAAAAAAGACCAGAAACUGGUAGCCAUAGUUAUGCUGAAAGAAAAUAGUUCACUUAAAUUAGAUUGAAAAUUUAUUAAAAAGAUUUUUCUGAAACAAUAGUAGAAGAAAGAGGAAGUAUGUGGGAUUUAGGAAGAGGGGAAUACCAGCAAAAUGAGGUAUCACAGACCUGAAAGGUGUCCAAAGGUUUUUGUGCUGAAGUCCUGCAGAGCAUCUUGUUCUGAGUAGUCUCCAAACCAAGUAAUGAUCCAAUCUGACGGAUUUAACUCUCAUUCUGGCAUUAUCCUUUUGACAGGGACUUGAGGUGUGGUGCCAUUUCUGCAAACAGGUCCUCAACAUCUGUUUUCCCAAAGUCAAGGUGCUGAUUUCCUUCCACAGGAAGGCAGCACCAGAGAUUUGUGGCAUUGACCAAAAUUUCUGCCAUAAUUUGCAUCACUAUUUUUAAAGCACUUUGGAAUUAAGCAACGAUUUUCACAGCAAACCACAAUCACCUCUCUCCUUAUCCUGGUCUCCCCUUACAAUGGGACAUAUGUUACAAUGUCAACUCAUUCUUUCAGUCACAUUUAAACUUUACCAGAGGAUCAAUUAUUUGUUUUCUAUUUAGGAAAAGAGGGAGUUUUGCCUUACAGGCAGCUUUUGUCCAAAACUGCUUGGAUUUGAAUAGAUUCAUCAGCAUUUGUGAAAGCUUCUUCAUUGCUCACUAUCUGCUAAAAGUAUUCUCUGGACCUGUUCAUUUUGUUUCAGCUCUACCUGAAGCCUACAAAGCUUUAAAAUGGUUUUCAGAAAACAAAGUGAAAUAGCCAGUGGGUCCAUCCCUACAGAACCUUUUGGGCAACUGCUUUGUCCUGGACCUCUGCAGAGACAUCCAGCUCAAACCCCGUGUACUACUUCUUAAAAACUUAAGAAAAAAAUUUAACUCCUUUGCCAGAGAUUUUCAAGGAAGAAUACGAAGCAUCAGGAUGUGCUCUACCGCAAAACAAGGGCUCCCACAUCUCCUUCCUUCCUGAACAAUCACCGCAGUCUUUAAACAAAAGAUUACAGUAAAAUGCGGUAUUUUAUGGCGUUUUUCCCCACAGCCACAAGAGGGGGUUUGAAGAACACGAUCUGCUUCGCACUUUCAGCCCAAGUCUUUUCUUUAGCGCAUGAUAUGUUAGUUGUAUCAUGAAACCAGUCAUUUCCUGAAAUGACUGAAAUUUUCAGUCAUUUUGCAAAAUGACUCCUUCACUCACUCAUUUCGUAAAAUGACUAAAAGUUUCACACGUUCUACGAAAUGACUGACGUGCUGGAUAUUCUGCUAGACUGUUUGUUUGUUUCACUCGGUAACAGGCAUAUUGUGAAAAGGGGGGUUACUGGAUAAGGAUCCUUUGCUUGUUCUGCAGUGACUGCCAGAGGUGGCUCUGGAUUUCAAAAGUAGCUUCAGAAAAGAACUUUACAAAAAGUAUGAGAAGUGCCCAAAGUGCAUGUUACCAGGGGAAGAAUAUUGUUCAACUAUUGCUGAGAUCAAAAAGGCAAGCCAAUAUCCCAAAUCAAAGUCAAGAAUUGAUACUACCUGCUUGCAGGUGCUCAUAGGUAUGAAAUUGUAUAGUGUGGUGACAAUAAGAAACUAAUCAAGAAAUGCCUGAUUAAAGGAGCAUCUCCCAUAUACAAUGUGAGCAUGGAAAACAGGUAUGCUAUUACCAGGAAAGCACAUGUUGCUACAGGUUGUGGUGGUUAUGAUCAAGUUACAAAGCAUUUAUUGCCUAAAUAUGCAAACAUCACAAGAGAGAUUGUUGAGCUCUUCAAAUCUUUCUGUCUUGGAUGCCAGAAGAAGAGAAAGAGACCCUUGACUAAUAGCAUUGGUGUAAAACCGACCAUAAGCAAAGAAUACUCAUCAUAAGGGCAAGUUGAUGUCAUUGAUAUGCAGGCUUGGUCUCAAGGCAAUUUCAAGGGUAUAAUUAUGUACCAAGACCACCUCGCCAAAUUUUGUGUUCAAUGAGCCCUUACCUCAGAGGGAGCACUAUAAGUGGCCUUUCAGCUUUUCGAUAUUUUGCUCCUACUUGAUACCCCUGUUGUGUUGCGGAGUAACAAAGGAACUGAAUUUACUGCUGAAGUCAGCUAAGAACUGAGGCUUCUGUGGCCUCUGCUUAGCAUAGUGCAUGGAAAAGCAAGAUAUCCACAAGGCCAAGGCUCUCCCAAAGAGGAUAUUAAGCAAAAGCUCUUAGCAUGGAUGGCAGACAAUAAUUCAUGGGACUAGACUGUGGGGAUUCACUUUUUCCAGUUCUCAAAAGCACCACCCGUCAAUCUGGAAUAAACUGUACACCGUAUGCAGCUUGGUUCUGUACCAAUCCCAAAAGUGGGUUUAGCUCAACUUCUCUUCCAUCAGGGAUCAUCAACCACCUCCGCAGUCAGCACAAUCUGCUUUCAGUGCUCAGCACUCUUUCUAAUGACUCUGCUGCGUCAACAUAUCCAGAAGAAACAGUCCCCCUCAUCCGACACAGUGGUAGGCAGCCAAACUGGAACUACUGCUAAACUAAAGGUGAGACCUGUUCCUAUAUCUCAAGCUCUGUCAGAAAGGAUUCAUCCAGACCCACCAAGUUCUCCACUCACCGAUACCCUUGAGCUAACUGGCCCUUCACUUCUAGGGCACCAUCCCAACCACCCCCUGCAAAAUCCAGCCCCACAUGCUGCCCCCACCGGCACAGCCUCCCUGGGCAGCAGGAAGGACCCUGGGCAGCACGGGCUUUGCAGGCAGAGCUCUUGGUAAAGCACAGGCUUCAGAUGGAUGAAAACACUGAAAAGCUGAACAGAUAUGAUACUGAUGUUGCAGUCACCUCAGUUAUGAAGAUAAGUUCGGUUCUGGCAGGUGGUGUAUAUGACUGGAUGAUUUCAGGAGUCUGUAUGGCUUUAGAAGUUAAUAAAUUACAAAAAUAAUCUUACAUGUCUUUUUAAGUUAAUUCAAGUAACAAAGUAUCAGACAUUUUACAUGGUGCCUUCCUACUAGUUUCGCUAACUUCAUUAAAGGCAUGAAACUUUCUCUUAUUUCACAGAAUGACUGAAUGAAACAGCCAUUUUGUGAAAUGGCUGAAAAUGUUAAUCAUUUCCCGAAAUGACUGGUUUCAAAAUAUGACUGUAACAUAUACAACUCUGGAGUCACCCAUUACGUUUUCAGCAACAUACACUUCCCAGGAAAGCAUGUGGAACAGAAGUAUUACCCAUAGCUUCAUUUUAUUCUGUGCCGAGAGAGGAGAAGAAAAAAGGAAGAGAGGCAUGUGUUUUAAACCCAUUAAGACAUUUUGUGCUGUACCAAGUGAAAAUUAUUCUCUAAUGAUACAAUAUAACAUAUCCUAAAUUGGAUUAU
This is a long non-coding RNA of Grus americana (Whooping crane), 6717 nucleotides long. RefSeq lists it as uncharacterized. Lineage: Eukaryota; Metazoa; Chordata; Aves; Gruiformes; Gruidae. The transcript has 4 exons. The record is from RefSeq and is a predicted model, not a curated record.